CCUGACGCAGCGACGCCGCGUGAGGGAAGAAGGUUUUCGGAUUGUAAACCUCUGUCCUCGGUGACGAAACAAAUGACGGUAGCCGAGGAGGAAGCUCCGGCUAACUACGUGCCAGCAGCCGCGGUAAUACGUAGGGCGCGGGCGUUGUCCGGAUUUAUUGGGCGUAAAGAGCUCGUAGGCGGUUUGUUGCGUCUGCAGUGAAAACGCGGGGCUUAACUUCGCGCGUGCAGUGGGUACGGGCAGGCUAGAGUGCGGUAGGGGAGAUUGGAAUUCCUGGUGUAGCGGUGGAAUGCGCAGAUAUCAGGAGGAACACCGAUGGCGAAGGCAGGUCUCUGGGCCGUUACUGACGCUGAGGAGCGAAAGCGUGGGGAGCGAACAGGAUUAGAUACCCUGGUAGUCCAUGCUGUAAACGUUGGGCACUAGGUGUGGGGGCCUUUCCGGGUUUCUGCGUCGUAGCUAACGCUUUAAGUGCCCCGCCUGGGGAGUACGGCCGCAAGGUUAAAACUCAAAGGAAUUGACGG
Molecule: ribosomal RNA, 521 nt
Filed under: uncultured bacterium
Lineage: Bacteria
Description: bacterial SSU rRNA
Rfam family: Bacterial small subunit ribosomal RNA
Source: RNAcentral